AACGAACGCUGGCGGCAUGCCUAACACAUGCAAGUCGAACGAGAUCUUCGGGUCUAGUGGCGCACGGGUGCGUAACGCGUGGGAAUCUGCCCUUUGGUUCGGAAUAACAGUUGGAAACGACUGCUAAUACCGGAUGAUGACGAAAGUCCAAAGAUUUAUCGCCAGAGGAUGAGCCCGCGUAGGAUUAGCUAGUUGGUGUGAUAAAGGCGCACCAAGGCGACGAUCCUUAGCUGGUCUGAGAGGAUGAUCAGCCACACUGGGACUGAGACACGGCCCAGACUCCUACGGGAGGGAGCAGUGGGGAAUAUUGGACAAUGGGCGAAAGCCUGCUCCAGCAAUGCCGCGUGAGUGAUGAAGGCCUUAGGGUUGUAAAGCUCUUUUACCCGGGAUGAUAAUGACAGUACCGGGAGAAUAAGCUCCGGCUAACUCCGUGCCAGCCGCCGCCGUAA
This 449-nucleotide ribosomal RNA is filed under the name uncultured bacterium. RNAcentral describes it as "partial 16S ribosomal RNA". It matches the Rfam family "Bacterial small subunit ribosomal RNA", at positions 29 to 523 of the family's 1533-position model. The record is from RNAcentral.